Bubalus bubalis (water buffalo) is the source of this 107-nucleotide small nuclear RNA. The record is from RefSeq and is a predicted model, not a curated record. Lineage: Eukaryota; Metazoa; Chordata; Mammalia; Artiodactyla; Bovidae.
GUCCUCGCCUCAGCAACACAUGUACUCAACUCAGAACAAUGCAGAGAAGAUGAUCAUGGCCCCUGCGCAAGGAUGGCACGCAAACGGGUGAAGUGCUCCACAGCUUA